GAUUGAGAGCUCUUUCUUGAUUUUUAGGUGGUGGUGCAUGGCCGUUCUUAGUUCGUGGGGUGACUUGUCUGCUUAAUUGCGAUAACGAGCGAGACCUUACUCUGCUAAAUAGCCAGGCUAACUUUGGUUGGUCGCCGGCUUCUUAGAGAGACUAUCAACUCAAGUUGAUGGAAGUUUGAGGCAAUAACAGGUCUGUGAUGCCCUUAGAUGUUCUGGGCCGCACGCGCGCUACACUGACAGAGCCAACGAGUUCUUUUCCUUGUUCGAAAGAAUUGGGUAAUCUUGUUAAACUCUGUCGUGCUGGGGAUAAAGCAUUGCAAUUAUUGCUUUUCAACGAGGAAUGCCUAGUAAGCGCGUGUCAUCAGCAUGCGUUGAUUACGUCCCUGACCUUUGUACACACCGCCCGUCGCUACUACCGAUUGAAUGGCUCAGUGAGGCCUUCGGACUGGCUCGAGGAGGUUGGCAACGACCACCUCAAGCCGGAAAGUUCGUCAAACUCGGUCAUUUAGAGGAAGUAAAAGUCGUAACAAGGUCUCCGUAGGUGAACCUGCGGAGGGAUCAUUA
RNAcentral lists this ribosomal RNA (564 nucleotides) under uncultured fungus. RNAcentral's name for it is "SSU rRNA". It matches the Rfam family "Eukaryotic small subunit ribosomal RNA", at positions 1246 to 1831 of the family's 1831-position model. Lineage: Eukaryota; Fungi. The record is from RNAcentral.